GAAGCCGCAAUGAUGUCCCCGGGGACCUUACUUAUAGGAAACCUCGCCGCGGGAGGAUUUAUGAAGCGUCUGUAAAAUAUGUGUGUAGGAACUCGGGACGUUUUGAUCGCUACAAGGAGAAAAAAUGGACAGUUUCUUAUCUUACUCCGGGACCUUGGGAGUUGAAACCUGAAGAGCUCAUUACCCAAGAAAGCAAGCCAUCCAAGCCAACUGGUGCAGAGGCUCGCCCAGGGUUGUGCUGUGGCCUUCGCUAAGCUCCGCCCCUCGACCUGCUAUCGGGAUUCUCUUUCUGGGAAUCAAACUCAGGACUUCAAGCAUGUUGGGCAAGUGCUCUAUCAGCUGACGUAGAUCUCCAGACACUUCCGGCUCCUGUUCAUUCUGUGAAGACAAAUAUAUCACUUCCAUGAGGUUUAGACUGGGCAAGUGAACUACAGAGUGCGUACUGCCCACCAGGCUCGCCCACCACGUUUCAUCCCACCUGGCACAGGGGCUACUGUGGAAUCCAAAAGAAAUGGAGGCCACGGCAUCACGUGCUUAGCUGAUGCUGGUGUGGCUGCCUGUGGGAAACCGAGCCUGGGCUGUGCCUGGUGAUACCAUCUGGUUUGUCUGUUCUGCACGUGGGAGCCCUGCUGUCCCUCUAGAUGAAUGAUGCAGGCCGAGAGUCUCAGGUCACCUAACCACAGAGCUCUUCUCCAGCGACUUGGCUCAUGAUCUUAAUCACAAGAUCCGGGAGCCAGGAUGCAGAUCCAGGAUGCACCGUAACACCCAUCUGAGAGGUGGGGAGAGGACCCAGGGCCCCCAGAAUCCCACUUGAGACCCUACUAUCAUCACAGGACGGGCAGCAGGUGGCGCCACGGCCCUGGUUUAACAAGGACAGUGGGCCGGUGGAAAAGGAGGGGGGAAAUCCAGUAAGAGAAGCUAGUGGAAAACAAGGACUUAAAUGAACAAUUUGUUCCAAAACAUUUGCCUUGUAACGGGGUCAUCUAUAAACUCUGGGGUUUCCUGUUUGCAAUGGAGCAGGCCGGCCGGCGGGUGGCCUCCGUAUUCCCUGCAGCCAGGGAGACACUUUUGAAGGCCAGCUCCAGAGCUCACUCCUGGGCCAGACUGACUCUAAAAUUUCCCAGCUUUUGUGCCAUUAAGUGAGAUCCGGUGGCGGAGGUCGGCGGCGGCGACAGUAGCAGCAGCAGCGGCUGCGGCGGCGUUCCGGACUGCGAUCUGCUCUCCAGACGUUAGGUUCCAGACACCGGGAGGAGGGCUGAACUCGCAGUCAUUUCCAGAGGAGAGGCAGACUCUGAUCUUUGCAUACCCGCUGCCGCGGGCCUCGUGCCAAGGCAAUAAAAUGGGUGAAAACAAUAAAAUAAAAGAGGUGAAGGUGGCCGGUUGAGGGAGCUGCUGCGGUCACUGUGGCCGCGGAGGGAGAUGCUUGGUCUUGAGCCCAGGCCUGGUUAUUUGGGGCACAGAGGUGGCAUGACAUUCCGCUAUUGAGAUCACUUCAUCAUGGGCUCCGGGGC
Long non-coding RNA from Apodemus sylvaticus (European woodmouse), 1511 nucleotides. RefSeq lists it as uncharacterized. Lineage: Eukaryota; Metazoa; Chordata; Mammalia; Rodentia; Muridae. The transcript is spliced from 3 exons. The record is from RefSeq and is a predicted model, not a curated record.